Long non-coding RNA from Numida meleagris (helmeted guineafowl), 1548 nucleotides. The record is from Ensembl. NCBI's taxonomy places the organism in Eukaryota, Metazoa, Chordata, Aves, Galliformes, Numididae.
AUCUGCACACUGGAGGUUUCCACCCACACCUCGGGUGGUUCCCCUGUGCAGGAUGAAGCCCACGUGCUCCAGCGGAGACGUCUCAUCCCUGGGCACUGAGGGACAGGUUGUCCCGGGAACACACGGUGACCACGCCGGGUUUUAGAGUGUAUUUUAAGACAUAAAGGUAGAUUAAAGCUUUUUAUUCUCUAUUUUUCAUCUCCACCUCUCGGGCUCUCCUUCCUUCCUUCCUUCCUUCCUUCCUCUCUCUGAACACUGAUAUGAGGCUGCCCGCAGUGCUGCAGCUGCCGGAUGAGCAUCACAAAGUUAUCCCCAGCCCUUAUUUGGUCCUAUCUCCUGCAACCACUCCACCAGAGGGGUUCCAGGUGCUGAGCAGAGCUGCCCGGAUGGGUUCGCGCUCAGUCUUUGUGUGUGCAGCUUUUGGGGUCAGAGGAGAAUAAAGUCUGGAGAAAAUCAGCACGUCGGUGUGGCCGUGCCCUGCCUUCCCAGGGGCUGUGCAUUGCACUGCAGUGAGAAAUGCUCGCUGUUUCUACCCACCCGGACCCUCUCCUGCAGCUUUGGGGUCCUGUUCCAGGGCAUUCAUACCCAAACCCUGCUGAAUGAGGCUGCACGCAUGGGCUGUCCCUGGGACGUGCCCUUUGGGCAUGGUACCCUGUGCCCAAACAGCCCCAAACCAGAGCUGGCAGGAUGCCCCCAAACCCCCAACCCAUCCCAUCACCUCCUUGGGACCCUGACCCCGUGUACUCUGGGUGACUAGCCCCGUAAUCCCCCUCCCUCGUGCACUUAGCAGCUUCCUGCCUUUGUCUCCCCUCUCUCCAAGCAAAUAUGCCCUUAGCCACAUUUUCCUGGCUGCGGUGCCACCACAUUGUCCCCGAGUUGCUGUCUCCGAGUGCUGCCAGGGCUCUGGGCAGACCGCGGGAGCCCCAGGGCAGCACAGCCCCUGCCCUGCAUGGAGAUCCAUGGAACGGAAUCCUGGUUUGGGAACACAGAGGAAUGCAGGGUCACAUCGGAAGCGUGACGAAGAGCGGAGCUUCGUCAUCGGCGGUGACGGGACUUUCUCCAAACUGCUCCCUCCCACCCCCCAAAUAGCCACAGUCAGAACGAAUGCACCAAAAGAGCUGAAACACAGCAUCUGGUUGCACGCUGCCCUUGGGGUGGGAAAUGGGAUGAGGCUGCGGCUGUGAUACUGGGAUGGGAUGGGAUGGGAUGGGAUGGGAUGGGAUGGGAUGGGAUGGGAUGGGGUGGGAUGGGAUGGGAUGGGAUGGGAGGCAGCACGAUCCCCAAAAUCACCUCUCUAUCCCAGAUGGGGAUGGGCCCCAUCGCUGUCCCACUUCUGGUGCUGCGUCCCCACGUCCCUUAGGGUGGUGCCUACCCUGAAAAGCGCUGCGUUACGUCAAGGUUUCUCUUCCCCCUCUCUCCCCAAGUGAGAAAUUUCUGCUGAGUUUGGCUCUGCCCAUCCGGCGAGGAACUUCCCAGCAGUGACAGGGUGACGUUUGGGCCACCCGAGGGCUGUGUGGCUCCUGGUGACAUGCCCGUCAUUGGAAAGGA